UGCAGACAUACCACGUUGAAACACUGAUUCUCGUACGAUUACCGAAGUUAAACAACGUCGAGCCUGGUCAGUCUCUGUAUGGGUAACUACUUAGGAAUAGCAGGUGCUGUAAG
This is a non-coding RNA of Acanthosepion pharaonis, 113 nucleotides long. The record is from the annotation of a GenBank genome assembly. NCBI's taxonomy places the organism in Eukaryota, Metazoa, Mollusca, Cephalopoda, Sepiida, Sepiidae.